GUGGCGCACGGGUGAGUAACGCGUGGGAACCUGCCCUCGAGUGGGGAAUAACGACGGGAAACUGUCGCUAAUACCGCAUACGUCCUUCGGGAGAAAGGCUUCGGCCGCUCAAGGAUGGUCCCGCGUCCGAUUAGCUAGUUGGUGAGGUAACGGCUCACCAAGGCGAUGAUCGGUAGCUGGUCUGAGAGGAUGAUCAGCCACACUGGGACUGAGACACGGCCCAGACUCC
Molecule: ribosomal RNA, 229 nt
Filed under: uncultured bacterium
Lineage: Bacteria
Description: partial 16S ribosomal RNA
Rfam family: Bacterial small subunit ribosomal RNA
Source: RNAcentral